AUUUCCCGCAAUUUUUCUUUUAAAAACCUAAAGGCCUUUGUCUCCCGGUGCCACUCUUUGCUGACCAGCAAGGGUGACCCCGUUGUACAAUGGUUAAUAAACCUCUUGCUUUUGCAACGAGUCUUGGUCUGGGGGAGUCUCUGGGAAGGGCACGAUUGAACUCCUGAGCUGUGAGACCCCAGGUCUUACAUUUUUGGUGCGUUUGGCCGGGAAAGGGCGUGCUCCUUCCCCAACCCUCAUCAGACUGAACUCGGAGGUCGAGCUCGGAACAGAAAGUCCCAAAAUCCUGGCAGUAGCUCCCCAAGGUCUCCGAGAAGAUUUGGACAACGACAGAUGACUGCAACUCUGGAUUGUGGUAUGCUAACCACUGGGCAAUACUGCCCCAACUGGCCCACUGCUAGGGCCCAGCCUAAACUGUGGACAAAGCCGGGGACACCUGAAGAGCCAUUGUCUCACAUUGUGAGAGGCAAGGUGAGGUCAAUCUCUCCUGUUCCUCUUUCCACAGCAGCAGUUUCUCAUCCUCUAUGCCUGAUGGCUGGACUGCCUCUGCUCAGAAAGCCAGGAGACUACAUGAGCCAGGCACACUGCCUAGGUGAUAGACUAACUAGUCAUCUCUGUCAUUUUGAUUGGUACAUUUACUUAGCUCAUAAUUUAUCCUUCUCAGGUCUCUGAUCACAUUGACAGCUAGGCUGAAAGGCUAGGCUUAGUUAACAGUAACUUGGCAGUUAAAGAGCAGACAGUUAGGUUCACUAUCAGCUCAUUGGACAGUUCAUUAGUUAGUUAAAACUACUGGGUACUAUAUCUUUUGUAUAAAAAAAAAAAACAAAAAACAGGUUUGCCCUGCUCACAGGCUUUACAUCAGUUGCCAAUGUCUUAUAUUAAUAGUUAAAUAAAAAAAUAUAUAAGGUUUAUAUAGGGUCUGAGGAUAUAGGAGUUCAGGUUAUAAAAAUCUAAAAAAUGUUGGUCUACAUACUGAUCAAAGUGUCAAUUUAAUGGACGUCAGGUUAACACUUAAGUAAAAAAAAAGUACAAGCAGUUUCUCACGCAGGCAAUUUUACUUAGCCAAAAUAUAGGAGGGUUUACUCAAGGUUGCACAAAGCCUGCUGUCUGGUUACUAUGGUUGCACGGAGUUUCUCAGGGUCAGAGCAGUCCACUGUAAGACCACCAAGGUCAGUCUGUGAGAGACUGGACUUUAAAAAAUAGCCAAGAGGCUGAGUUCCGCUGCUCAGAUGCCGUUAACUCCAAAAAGGCUGCCACAUGGACACACUUGUUUAUAAAAGAUAUAAAACAAACAGCUGACUGGUACCAAUUCUGUUGGAUAUAGUUUUUAUCUGUUACUCUCAAAAUGUUGCUGUAUUAGAUUUGCUGAUAUGUUACUUUUCUGAGUUUCCUUUUGUGUACCAAAAAUUUAUAUGAGUUUAUAAAAAUCAAAAGGUCAUAAGACCUAGAUCUGGCAUAGCUCAAAUGGAUCCCAGAAGAGUUUUUCCCUGGUGUUGGGAUUCCUCACUUUUUCCAUUUAACAGACAAAUCUUAACUUCUGUCUCUAGUCUGAAUUUGUCUCAGCAGAUUUUCACCUGGUUGACUCUGGGCUGCAAACUGAAAUCUGGACUUGUUGGAAGCUGACAUGACUGCUCCCUGUCUCCUCAAUUGGAUCCACUAACCAGAGACUGUUAAGGACUGCCUCAUUGACCAGCCUUUGACUGGCUCCUAGUAAUCUUUACCCAUGUACUCUCCCCAACUUUUGACCAGCAUUUCAGCCUCUUUUAAACUGAGAUUUCAGCGAUCCAUCAUCAGCAUGAAGAAAUUCCAGAAGACGGAUCAUCGGCCCAUUGUCCCAUUCUACAGGCUGAAAUGCUAAUGUGGAGGACCUGAAUUUGAUCCCCAGGACACACCUUAUGGAAAGAAGGAACUGAUUCCCAUAAGCUAUCUUCUGACCCCCAUAUGUGCACUGUGACAUACUUGCAGACACAAACACACACACGUAAAUAAAUGUAAUAAUUAUUUUAAAUUUUAAUAAAAAUAAAACCAAAAUAUAUUAAAAAAUUUUAA
Meriones unguiculatus (Mongolian gerbil) is the source of this 2049-nucleotide long non-coding RNA. RefSeq lists it as uncharacterized. NCBI's taxonomy places the organism in Eukaryota, Metazoa, Chordata, Mammalia, Rodentia, Muridae. The record is from RefSeq and is a predicted model, not a curated record. The transcript is spliced from 3 exons.